GUGCGAGAAAAGGAAGUCUUUUUGAUGGUUUUCUACAUCUAAUUUUCUCUGAUAAGUUUAUCUUUAAGUAAAAUAAGGGUGAGAAAAGUUAGAGUCAAAUUAAAAUUCAAAAUAAUUUGAAUUGAAAUAAACUCCAGCUCUUAUCCUAUCUUACUUGGUUUGUGCGACAACUAUUAAAAGGCCAUAAUUUUAUGUUCCAACAAGAGAGAACUUUUUACCAUGA
This 223-nucleotide long non-coding RNA is filed under the name Elaeis guineensis (African oil palm). RNAcentral's name for it is "long non-coding RNA (EGUI_LNC032573)". The record is from RNAcentral. Lineage: Eukaryota; Viridiplantae; Streptophyta; Magnoliopsida; Arecales; Arecaceae.